RNA transcript from Pecten maximus, 11062 nucleotides. RefSeq lists it as uncharacterized. The record is from RefSeq and is a predicted model, not a curated record. The transcript is spliced from 5 exons. Lineage: Eukaryota; Metazoa; Mollusca; Bivalvia; Pectinida; Pectinidae.
CCUAAAGAAAAAACCUUCGUUCCAUGGGCGAAAAAAUGGACGCUGUCAUCGUUAUAUCCGACGAUGACAUCAGUGACGAAGACAGUGCGAACGACGGAGAUGACAGUGAGGAAAAUAAACAAAGCACAGAGGUACGAGAGGAACUUGCAUGUAAUGACCGACUCGCACUCGAUUUCGAGCGGGAUAUGGAAAUGGCUAUCAAAUUAAGUUUGCAGAGUAUGGCCGAAUCAUCCAGUUCCUCAACAGAGCCGAAAAAACUUUCCAAGAGGGCUUCAAUGAACAACAGAACAUGGUGCAACAUUCGCCAGGAGAAACAUAACUCAAAACACAAGUCGGCAAGCUCGACGGACCAGAUACGCACACCCACGAUUAUCGACGAAUCUGACGACCUACCUGACCUUGACAGUAACGAGGAGUGUAUAUUUGUCCAGGUGUUCGAGGAAGAAAUAAAUGAUGACAGUGAUUGUAUGAUUGUGGACGAGUGGGAUGCAGGUAGUCCAACGAAAAACUCAAACGUAGGCAAACCUGUUAACAAUGACUGUACAAGGUCGGCGUUUACUUCUCUUAACAAUAAACGCAAGUUGGAGAAUAAAAAUUAUACUCCAGGAAAGGAUCUUAUCGAAGGAACUUCUUCAGACAAAAUAGAAAAAUCAGUAACUAGCAAAAAAUUGGACUUCACAGAAACAAUUUGUGAAAAAACUGAAAGCAGUCAGAAGAACGAAGGCUGUAGAAAAUUUCCAGUUUUGUCGUCUGAAGGUCGAGCCAAAUUAGCGAACAUUUUAAAAACUGUCAACCCCAAGAGCCUACAGAAAUCCAAAAGUGUGGAACAGGCGAGUAAAGAGGACAGUGCUUCAGGAAGUCCUAAAACCCAGGAUAAAUGGUCAUUCACCAUAGAACGACACUUUUCUGACAUCCUAAGCGGAGGUUCACCCCAGGGGAAAACAACAAGCGAGGAAAACUCACCGGAAAAAAUUCAUUCCCCGAGCUACCUAUCUCCUCCCAAACUCUCUAAUGGAUCAUUCCAACCUAUCACCUCUAGUCCAAUGCGGGAACACCCACCAGUCCUAGAACCGGAGAUUACCAAACCAAGCGCAUUCUCAAACUACAGACCUUCAAAAUCACCUGGAACAUCUCCAACUCCAUCAAAACGUCUCAAGCUAGGCAGAUGUGUUAGUGCUACUACCACUGUGAAAAAUAAUUAUGAAAUUGUUAAUAUGAGAUUAGGUAAAUCUUUAUCCUUAGAAUCAGAUGUACCUAAAGGUCGAACGAUACGAACAUCAAGUGACAUUGUGUUGAAUUCUUGGAACUCUAAACGUUCGGAUGUCCGGAAUUUCUUCAAACCAAUCCCGUCAUCAUCUUCUGUAGCUGAUACGCCAACUUUAUCUACAAGGACACUGAAAGACUGGCAGAACCUGAGGCCGUUUAAUGUUGAGUUCCCAACUAAAGCGGGCCUUGAGGAUUCUCUGUCCAUGAAAUUAUCAAAGAUGCAUAUUGACACCAUAGGUGUGUGUUUUGAGGAAGAAGGACCGUAUUGCCUGCGUCACGCCAUUAAAUUCACUCACGAUUUUUCUCUGAAAUACAUUCCAACUGUUGACAUUGUUAAGCAGCUAUUGUUCAAGGGGAUUUUAGAAAAUAAUCAAGUGGAUUUAAUGUUCAGUUCGUACCGAACACUCCGACUGAUUCAGCAGAAAUAUCCGGGAACCCUCCAGAUCGACUGGGACACCCUCAAACUCGUAAUUGACAGCGUAAACCUCGGCCUCGGUUUCGUAAAACAGGAUAUGGUCGUCCUUCUGAGAACUAGUCUGUUUCUCCAGCUGACGGUCGCGUGCUAUGGAGAUGAACUGUAUAACUGUGACGUGGUUGACCCUAAGGGUCUACGUCAGUCCAUGGCGUAUAAAAGUCUGACGUUCGACAGUGCGUCGUACACUGGGGGUGUCAAACAACUCACCAACUGGAUCGUCUGUUGUCUCACAUACGGGGAAUUCCAGGAAGUUCAGGAAAUUUCCUCACCUUUUUUUCGCGAAAGAAAUCAAGACAUACAUCCAAAUCAGACAGAAGACGUGAUUCUACGACAGGAAGUUCGUAAAAUUCUACCACUGCUGCAAAGACUUCUAAAAAUAGCGAUAGAAAUAAACCUGAGUUGUUCGGAUUGUGCAAGAACUUGUGCGUCCGAGCUUAUCAAGAGCUUUGUUUACCUGAGUCUAGGGUACAAGAAACUGCUGCUACAGACGAUGCAGUCAAGUCUGUUGCAGUUCAAACUCGUGUCACUGAUGUUGGAGAAUUACUGUGACUGUGAUGCAUUCUCCUACUACGAGUUCCCAUCAAGUGUGAGAGAUGUAGUCGAGAAUUUAUUACAGGCCCAGCCCCCUAGGAUGAUGAACACGCCUCCUACUACCCCGCAGUCCGAGGAGGAAGAGGGGGGUGGGGAUGGUGUGGGGAGAUUUGUACCGAAGGUGUCCUCUGUAGCAGUGGAAGAGCUGGCUAUGUUGCAGUAUUACGCCUUGAAAAGUUACUUACAAUGUUCUAAAGCUAAAAGCCAUGUUCCACUGAGGAUCAGAGUUAAGUUACCGGAGAAAGAAUUCGGCAGUCUGUCUCCCGAGAGUAUGAAAGAGCUAGAGAAGCUACCUAGUCAUAUAGAGGAACUACGAGGCCUCUAUCUACAACUUGCCAUCGAACUCACAGCAGAUACGGAGAAAUAUCUGAUGAUGAUGCUCUGUUUGAAGGACACGACAGUCAAACACUGAAAGUUCCCUUGUUAUCGAUACUACACAGGCUACCCAGAAAACACACGAAGAACAGCUACAAAACAAUUAUUUACUACCGAAUGGCAUAGGCUGUCAAGAAAGUAUGUGAAGAACAGCCAAUCUGCGAUUACUAGUCAUUGAUUUCACUCUGGUUAGGACAUGCAUGAUUGUUGGUCGAUGACGACAAAUUUGCAGUCGUUGAUGACGGAUUUGCAGUCUAGAGGACAUCAGUCGAUGACCUGAUAUUUGUAAUCUAGAGGACCAUGUACCACUGUCAGCCGAUGACCACGGAAUUGUAGUCUAGAGGUCGACGUACCACUGUCAGCCGAUGACCUGGGAUUUGUAGUCUAGAGGACCACGUACCACUGUCAGCCGAUGACCUGAUAUUUGUAGUCUAGAGGAUGUACCACUGUCAGCCGAUGACCUGGGAUUUGUAGUCUAGAGGACUGCGUACCACUGUCAGUCGAUGACCAUGGAAUUGUAGUCUGGAGGUCGACGUACCACUGUCAGCCGAUGACCUGGGAUUUGUAGUCUAGAGGACGUACCACUGUCAGUCGAUGACCUGGGAUUUGUAGUCUAGAGGAACGCCAUUGAUAGUACAUCUGUACCGACAUCAUUGUCUUGUUACACCCAGAUUCUAGUAAUAUUUCAUACCUACAUAUGUAUACAUAUACAUAUAACCUCCUUGGUCAUAUUUGUACCUAUUGUACCAACAUGUUAAAUAGCGACCCCGAUAGAGAGAGGUUUCGUGGACUAGUCACUGAAUACAGAGCUUGUGAUUAUUUGACUGUUAUGUAUGUUACGGUUUAAUUUAUAAAUUUCAUUUUAAGUUAUUGGAGAAGUGGGAGAUUUCACAUUUCAUUCAUAUUCAUUUUUUCUAAUUAAUAUGUGUUGUAUAUGUAGAGAUAAUGCAGUGUGUGGAUUGUCAUGGUGAGGAGAGUAUGUAGUGCGUUAGUUGUCAUGGUAACAAGAAUCAUAACAGGAUGUGGGUUGUCAUGGUAAUGCGACUCGUAUUAGUAUGUGGGUUGUCAUGGUAAUGAUAAUCAUAUAUUAGUGUGUGGGAUGUCAUGGUAAUGAUCGAGAAUCAUAUAUUAGUGUGUGGGUUGUCAUGGUAAUGAGAAUCAUAUAUUAGUGUGUGGGUUGUCAUGGUAAUGAGAAUCAUAUAUUAGUGUGUGGGUUGUCAUGGUAAUGAGAAUCAUAUAUUAGUGUGUGGGUUGUCAUUGUGAAGAGAAUCAUAUAUUAGUGUGUGGGUUGUCAUGGUAAUGAUAAUCAUAUAUUAGUGUGUGGGUUGUCAUUGUGAAGAGAAUCAUAUAUUAGUGUGUGGGAUGUCAUGGUAAUGAUCGAGAAUCAUAUAUUAGUAUGUGGGUUGUCAUGGUAAUGAGAAUCAUAUAUUAGUGUGUGGGUUGUCAUGGUAAUGAGAAUCAUAUAUUAGUGUGUGGGUUGUCAUGGUAAUAAGAAUCAUAUAUUAGUGUGUGGGUUGUCAUUGUGAAGAGAAUCAUAUAUUAGUGUGUGGGUUGUCAUGGUAAUGAGAAUCAUAUAUUAGUGUGUGGGUUGUCAUGGUAAUGAAAAUCAUAUAUUAGUGUGUGGGUUGUCAUGGUAAUGAAAAUCAUAUAUUAGUGUGUGGGUUGUCAUGGUAAUGAUCGAGAAUCAUAUAUUAGUGUGUGGGUUGUCAUUGUGAAGAGAAUCAUAUAUUAGUGUGUGGGUUGUCAUGGUAAUGAUUGAGAAUCAUAUAUUAGUGUGUGGGUUGUCAUGGUUAAGAGAAUCAUAUAUUAGUGUGUGGGUUGUCAUGGUAAUGAAAAUCAUAUAUUAUGUGUGGGUUGUCAUGGUUAAGAGAAUCAUAUAUUAGUGUGUGGGUUGUCAUGGUAAUGAUCGAGAAUCAUAUAUUAGUGUGUGGGUUGUCAUUGUGAAGAGAAUCAUAUAUUAGUGUGUGGGUUGUCAUGGUAAUGAUAAUCAUAUAUUAGUGUGUGGGAUGUCAUGGUAAUGAUCGAGAAUCAUAUAUUAGUGUGUGGGUUGUCAUGGUAAUGAGAAUCAUAUGUUAGUGUGUGGGUUGUCAUUGUGAAGAGAAUCAUAUAUUAGUGUGUGGGUUGUCAUGGUAAUGAGAAUCAUAUAUUAGUGUGUGGGUUGUCAUUGUUAAGAGAAUCAUAUAUUAGUGUGUGGGUUGUCAUGGUAAUGAAAAUCAUAUAUUAUGUGUGGGUUGUCAUGGUUAAGAGAAUCAUAUAUUAGUAUGUGGGUUGUCAUGGUAAUGAGACUCAACUGUUGAUGGGUUGUCAUGGUAACGAAAAUUAUAUUGUGUAACAUGAACUGUUUGUGUGUUUUUUCCUCCAUAGUUCAGAGCAAUCAAACUAUUUCAUGGUACAAACCUUUGUGGUUAGCCCAUUAGAAAUAUUUGUUGUUUUAUAUUCGUAGCAACCAUAAAAACAACGAAAGGUCAAACACAACAAACGUUUCAUGUUACACAGUAAAAGUGUGAGUUGUCAUCUUAGCUUAAGUCAUAAUAUUGAGUGGGUUGUCAUGGUAAGAAGAAUAUAGAGUUUUGCUUGUUGUGAUAAGGGGACUAUUUUGUGUGGGUUGUCAUAGUAACGAGUCAUGGUAGUGUGCCGGUUGUCAUAGUAACGAGAAUUGGGAUACUGUGUUUGAUCUGUUCCCUGGAUGAAGCUUUAUAGCUGUCAUGUGAUUAAGAGAUGCUGUACUGUGAUCCAUACCUAUGUUGUAUACUUUCGUAUUUCAGGCAAAGUAACAUUUUCUACACCCCCAUUCCAUCUAGAUUGAUUCCAUUUAGAAUGUACCACAUCAAGUGGCACAUACAGAAGGGUUUUUAUAAACUUUUUUUUUCUAUGUGCGUCAGUUGAAUGUAUAUUUUUGGAGAAAUUUAAUAUUUUGUUUAUUUUAUUGGCCUCAUAACAUAACUUACAAGUUCCUAAAAUGUCUAAACUUAAUUGCUGACAGUACUCGAAUUUGCGUUGUGCUGAUUGUGUUCGUAGUCACGUGUUGGUAAAUAGCUUUUGUUAACAGUACUCAAGUUUGCGUUAUGCUGAUUGUGUUCAUAGUCACAUGUCGUUUAGCUUUCGUUAACAGUACUCAAGUUUGCGUUACGUUGAUUGUGAUUAUAGUCAUAUGUCAGUUAGCUUUCGUUGACAGUUCAUGUGUUUGCGGUAUGCUGAUUGUGUUCGUAUAAUCACAUCUUGGUAAGCUUUCGUUGGCAGUACUGGAGUUUGCGGUACGCUGAUUGUGUUCAUAAUCACAUGUUAGUAAGCUUUCAUUGACAGUUCUUGUGUUUACGGUAUGCUAAUUGUGUUCGUAUAGUCACAUCUUGGUAAGCUUUCGUUGACAGUACUUGAGUUUGCAGUAUGUUGAUAUUGUUCGUAGUCAUGUGGUGGUAACGUUUUGUUGACAGUACUCGAGUUUGCAAUAUGCUUAUUUUGUUCAUAGUCACAUGUUGUAAAUUGCACUUUGUACUCUUUUCUUGCUUUCCUUGUAAUUUUUGCAGUGUUAACAUGUUGUUAUACCCUGCCUGACACGUAGUCCCACUUUUACAUAACGGCAGACAAGUUGUCUCCCAGGUUGAUGUAUGAAUUGUACCUGUUUCCUUUGUUUACCUGUUGAUUUCUCACCGGUUUUCUCACAUGUCUAAUUUAUGACAAAGUUAAAAAAACAAUGGUUUUAUGUUGUUAUUGAACAAAGCCACUCGCCAUAUUCAUCUGUCAAUUAACCCGUGCUUGGUAAUUGUAUAAUAGCUUGAAUUGUCAUGUCUACAUUUCAGUAAAACACUUUGUCUGGCAAAGCCAUGUUGAGUCGAUAUGUUUGGUAUAAAAAAUAGAUAUGGUACAUUUGUUUUAAAGGUUUAUUAGAUAAGUACGGUACACUGGUGUUAGAGGUUUACAGGAUAAGUACGGUACACUGGUGUUACAGGUUUACGGGAUAAGUACGGUACACUGGUGUUAGAGGUUUACAGGAUAAGUACGGUACACUGGUGUUAGAGGUUUACAGGAUAAGUACGGUACACUGAUGAUACAGGUUUACGGGAUAAGUACGGUACACUGGUGUUAGAGGUUUACAGGAUAAGUACGGUACACUGGUGUUAGAGGUUUACAGGAUAAGUACGGUACACUGAUGAUACAGGUUUACAGGAUAAGUACGGUACACUGGUGUUAGAGGUUUACAGGAUAAGUACGGUACACUGAUGAUACAGGUUUACGGGAUAAGUACGGUACACUGGUGUUAGAGGUUUACAGGAUAAGUACGGUACACUGGUGUUAGAGGUUUACAGGAUAAGUACGGUACACUGGUGUUAGAGGUUUACAGGAUAAGUACGGUACACUGGUGUCAGAGGUUUACGGCAUUAGUACGGUACACUGAUGUUAGAGGUUUACAGGAUAAGUACGGUACACUGAUGAUACAGGUUUACGGGAUAAGUAUGGUACACUGAUGAUACAGGUUUACGGGAUAAGUACGGUACACUGGUGUUAGAGGUUUACAGGAUAAGUACGGUACACUGAUGUUAGAGGUUUACGGGAUAAGUACGGUACACUGGUGUUAGAGGUUUACAGGAUAAGUACGGUACACUGGUGUAAGAGGUUUACGGCAUUAGUACGGUACACUGAUGAUACAGGUUGAUGAGAUAAGUACGGUACACUGGUGUUAAAGGUUUUAUGGGAUAAGUACGGUACACUAAUUGUACAGGUUUACAGAAUAAUUACGGUACACUGGUGUUAGAGGUUUACAGGAUAAGUACGAUACACUGAUGAUACAGGUUUAUGGGAUAAGUACGGUACACUGAUGAUACAGGUUUAUGGGAUAAGUACGGUACACUGAUGAUACAGGUUUACAGGAUAAGUACGAUACACUGAUGAUACAGGUUUAUGGGAUAAGUAUGGUACACUGAUGAUACAGGUUUAUGGGAUAAGUACGGUACACUGAUGAUACAGGUUUAUGGGAUAAGUACGGUACACUGAUGAUACAGGUUUAUGGGAUAAGUACGGUACACUGAUUGUACAGGUUUACAGGAUAAUUACGGUACACUGGUGUAAGAGGUUUACAGGAUAAGUACGGUACCACCUUGAGAAAUAUACAGACAGUUUUGCCCUGUUGACAGUUGUCAGUUCCUGUCUUCAUUUAUAAAAGGUGUAUGUGAUUAUUUUUUUUUUACUUUUGUAUAUAUGUUGACAGUCACAGUGUUCAUGUAUGAUGAAGUAUGCUAUGAUGUUGUUCAGUUUCAUUAGUGUUUUAAUAAUUUGAAUUAUUGAAGUUGUCCUAUACAUAUGUACAUAGACCAAAAAGAUAUGUUGAUUUUGUGCAAAAUUUUCAUAUUGAUAUCAUGCAGCUGAGAUGGGUAGGUCCUGACAAAGAAAUAUUAUCAAGACUCUUGUUGAAGUUGGGGUCAAGUUUUGUUUUAAAUGAUUACAUACUUGCUAAAGUUAACAUCUGAAGAUGUAAUUAUGGAACUAACAACAAGCAUGAAAAUGGAUGAGGUAUAGAGAAAUUAACAAGUUUGAUGUAAUUUUUAUCUUUCUUGGGGGAUGAGAUAGGUGACCUCCACCUCACAACAUUUUCCAAGGGGGCUAAGGGGCUUGGCCUGAUGGGGAAAGAGAAAUGGCGUGGCUUCCACUUUUCCAAGGGGGCUGAGGGGCUUGGCCUGAUGGGGGAAGAGAAAUGGCGUGGCUUUCCCUUUUCCAAGGGGGCUAAGGGGCUUGGCCUUAUGAGGGAAGAGAAAUGGCGUGGCUUCCCCUUUUCCAAGGGGGCUGAGGGGCUGGGCCUUAUGAGGGAAGAGAAAUGGCGUGGCUUCCCCUUUUCCAAGGGGGCUGAGGGGCUUGGCCUGAUGGGGGAAGAGAAAUGGCGUGGCUUCCCCUUUUUCAAGGGGGCUAAGGGGCUUGGCCUGAUGGGGGAAGAGAAAUGGCGUAGCUUCCCCUUUUCCAAGGGGGCUGAGGGGCUGGGCCUUAUGAGGGAAGAGAAAUGGCGUGGCUUCCCCUUUUCCAAGGGGGCUGAGGGGCUUGGCCUGAUGGGGGAAGAGAAAUGGCGUGGCUUCCCUUUUUCCAAGGGGGCUGAGGGGCUGGGCCUUAUGAGAGAAGAGAAAUGGCGUGGCUUCCCCUUUCCAUGGAGGCUGAAGGGCUUGGCCUUAUGAGGGAAGCAUAGCAAAUUCUUUAAAAUCAUUUUUCUUCUGAAGAUCGGAAAACAUUUAGUCCAUAUUUGAUCUGAAAGUCCUUGAAUAAAGGGGAACGAAUUGGGUAUAAAUGAGGUUCCCAUCCCGCCAUCUUUGAAAGGAAGUUCUUUAAAAUCCCUUUGUAAAAAUAAUGGGAUUUUGUGCAAAUAUGGUAAAGCACCCUUGGAGGAAAGAAAUAGAGGGGUAGGCAUCUAUGAGGAAAGAAAUAGAGGGGUAGGCAUAGCAAAUUCUGUGAAAUCCUUAUUUUAUGAUGUAUUCUCUGGUAUCAGAAUAUUUAUCGGGUUUCAUAGCAUGUUCUCACGGCAGUAUUGGCUAUAAACGAUCCUGGACUCUACAUACUAAUGUUUAUAUAAAUCUUAUUUAGGUUUCUGGAUUCAUGUUUAAUUUGUAACAGUGCUUUUUGUUGAUUUUCAGUGAAAUACUUAAAUGUUGUUUUUUGUGGUCGAAUGUUUUAUGUGGACGUUAAUUAUCACUGAUUUCUUGACUCUGCAGUGACAUAACUAAUGAUUUUGUUUGAGGGUUAAUUUCCAGGUUGGACAGUGACAUAACUUACUGUUGAAUGAUUUAGUUUGAGGAUUUAUUUCAAGGUCAGAUACGGCUAUUAUAUAUUGCUUAACUUGAACUUAAACACGAAAUUAUAUUGUUGUUGAAUCAUGAAGAAAAUUAUAUGAAUGUUAAAAUUGAUUAUAAUCUUGUUUUGUAAUCUAUAAUAUAGAUGACAUAUUUUGAAAGCUCUGGUUUGUAUUUAUAAUACAUUGAUUAUGUUUGUAUCGUUAUACUAAAAUGCCUGUGUUGACUUAAGUCCAAUUGCACUUCAUGAGAAGCUCAACAAAUGGCUGAAAAGCUUAAUUUUCAAAAUGGAAUGUUUGAGUGGUACUCCCGGACAUUUGCUUUUUUGCCUAUAAAUGCGUGCCCAUUUUAAAGCAAUAUUGUCUAGAUUAAGAUUUAAUUGUAUAUGGAAUUUAAAAAAAAUUUAAAAUGAAAGAACGGUUUAUAUCAUGCAGUUGUCAAUUUAAAGUACAUGUAGGGCCCAGCUUUGGGUUAUACAGAUAUGAUUGACAGCUCCUUUAUCAACAGAGAAUACUAGCUCAACCCACCUAUUGUUAAUAAGUGUGAAAAAUGUCGUACAUUUACCGACCAUGUUACAGAAGUAUGGAAUGGAAAUGCUAGUUUUAUAGAAAGUUUGGACUAUUGAACUACACAUCUGGAGUUGUGAAAUUACGUCAGUUUGAACAAAACUACCACCAUGACCUUGUCGAAAAUGUUCGCCUUAAAGUAUUUUAAAUCGAUGAAAAACGGUAUGAUUAAGUCUUAAAACAAGUAUCUAUGUGAUCAGGGAUUGAGCAUGUUCUAUUAAAUACAUAUACCAUUUCAACAGUUUUACUGGAAUUGGAAUCAAAAUUCGCCCCGUAUUGAUUUUACCAGACAUAUAAAUGUCUCUGAUUUUACUCUCAGUGGCAAGCACGAGUUACGUGGUGGUCCUACAAAGUGUUAAUUGAUUUUUGAGGUAGUUACGUAGUUUACAUCAAAUAAAAACUCAAUCCUUUGUUAUCGUAUGCAUCUUUUGUUUACAUUGUAAACAUUAUAAAAGGCUUAUAGGACGUAUCCCGUAUAUAUUCAGGAAACUUUUACACAGGUGAGGAUUUUCAUUGGUUAAAUCUCGAAUUCUGCUGAUAAGUCCGAAAUGGUUGAAAUGAUGAUUUGGUGCAGUAAAAAGAUUUACUUAUCCUUUAAGUAUCAACGAAUGAGAUAAAAAUGUCCACUUACAUUUCAUUUUGAAUUAUUUCCGCUUGUUGAGGUGCAAGUCUUGAUUCUAUAGUCGCUCAAUUUUGUAAUUUUACCACUGAUUUAUAGAUAUAUUCAUAUAUUUCCUUUAAUAAUUAUCAUACAGAACUUUUCUGGCAGCGAAAAAUUAACAUUUGCUUCUUGUUAUCCAAUUAUAUUAAAACUGAUAAGAUAAUCACUACUUUAUUUUUACAUUUUUGUAUGCUUAAUCAAUCAAACGUAUUCUGGAAAUGUAUACAUUUGUAGAAUAUUGAUGUGUAAAGGUACUCAUAAGUAGAAUGUAUAGAUGGAUGAAGCUAUUUUGUUUUUUCAUAUCUUGGAAAUUGUUAUACAUGUUUGAAUAUUGGAUAUUAAAUUUUUUAUCUAAGUGUUGAAA